GAUGAACGCUGGCGGCGUGCCUAAUACAUGCAAGUCGAGCGAACAGACGAGGAGCUUGCUCCUCUGACGUUUGCGGCGGACGGGUGUGUAACACGUGGAUAACCUACCUUUCAGACUGGGAUAACUUCGGGACACCGGAGCUAAUACCGGAUAAUCUAUUGAACCGCAUGGUUCUAUAGUGAAAGACGGUUUUGCUGUCACUUAUAGAUGGAUCCGCGCCGCAUUAGCUAGUUGGUAAGGUAACGGCUUACCAAGGCGACGAUGCGUAGACGACCUGAGAGGGUGAUCGGCCACACUGGAACUGAGACACGGUCCAGACUCCUACGGGAGGCAGCAGUGGGGAAUCUUCCGCAAAGGGCGAAAGCCUGACGGAGCAACGCCGCGUGAGUGAUGAAGGUCUUCGGAUCGUAAAACUCUGUUAUUAGGGAAGAACAAAUGUGUAAGUAACUAUGCACGUCUUGACGGUACCUAAUCAGAAAGCCACGGCUAACUACGUG
RNAcentral lists this ribosomal RNA (497 nucleotides) under uncultured bacterium. RNAcentral describes it as "partial 16S ribosomal RNA". It matches the Rfam family "Bacterial small subunit ribosomal RNA", at positions 28 to 507 of the family's 1533-position model. The record is from RNAcentral.